This 492-nucleotide ribosomal RNA is filed under the name uncultured Sphingobacteriales bacterium. Its description in RNAcentral is "bacterial SSU rRNA". It matches the Rfam family "Bacterial small subunit ribosomal RNA", at positions 903 to 1382 of the family's 1533-position model. The record is from RNAcentral. Lineage: Bacteria; Pseudomonadati; Bacteroidota; Sphingobacteriia; Sphingobacteriales.
GCUCAGAAACUACAAAGGAAGUUGGACGGGGGCCCGCACAAGCGGUGGAGCAUGUGGUUUAAUUCGAUGAUACGCGAGGAACCUUACCUGGGCUCAAAUGUAUGUUGACGUAUUCUGAAAGGGAUACUUCUUCGGACAAUAUACAAGGUGCUGCAUGGUUGUCGUCAGCUCGUGCCGUGAGGUGUCGGGUUAAGUCCCAUAACGAGCGCAACCCCUAUCAUUAGUUGCCAUCAGGUCAAGCUGGGGACUCUAAUGAAACUGCCUACGCAAGUAGUGAGGAAGGUGGGGAUGACGUCAAAUCAGCACGGCCCUUACGUCCAGGGCUACACACGUGCUACAAUGGCCGGUACAAAGGGCAGCUACCUGGUGACAGGAUGCUAAUCUCAAAAGCCGGUCUCAGUUCGGAUCGGAGUCUGCAACCCGACUCCGUGGAGCUGGAAUCGCUAGUAAUCGCGCAUCAGCCAUGGCGCGGUGAAUACGUUCCCGGGCCUU